GCCUGCCCGGUGACUAUAUGUUAAACGGCCGCGGUAUUCUGACCGUGCCAAGGUAGCGCAAUCACUUGCCCUUUAAAUGGGGGCCCGUAUGAAUGGCAUCACGAGGGCUAAUCUGUCUCCUUUCUCCAGUCAAUGAAAUUGAUCUCCCCGUGCAGAAGCGGGGAUAAAACCAUAAGACGAGAAGACCCUGUGGAGCUUUAGAUACUAAAUUGAUCCUCUUAAUAUAUUCAAAAUAAAGAUAUCCAAACAAGGAACACAAUCCGACUAUCUUUGGUUGGGGCGACCGCGGGGACUAAAAAAACCCCCAUGUGGACCGGGAAUAAAAAUUUUUCUUAUUCCUUCAAUUAAGAGCUACCACUCUAACUAGCAGAACUUCUGACCUAAAAUGAUCCGACAAAGUCGAUCAACGGACCGAGUUACCCCAGGGAUAACAGCGCAAUCCCCUUUAAGAGCUCUUAUCGACAAGGGGGUUUACGACCUCGAUGUUGGAUCAGGACAUCCCAUUGGCGUAGAAGCUAUUAAGGGUUCGUUUGUUCAACG
Molecule: ribosomal RNA, 540 nt
Filed under: Nemipterus hexodon (ornate threadfin bream)
Lineage: Eukaryota; Metazoa; Chordata; Actinopteri; Spariformes; Nemipteridae
Description: partial 16S ribosomal RNA
Rfam family: Bacterial large subunit ribosomal RNA
Source: RNAcentral